UAGCUGUCAUAAAAGGUUUAUCCUUACUAUAAACUUUAACCGUUUUUUCCGGAAAAUAUUCAGAAAUCAUAUUCUCAGUGACCUGAAGAAAGUUCCUUUCUCCGUAAUAUGAGACUUGGACUUCCAGCUGAUGAUAUUAUGAUCCGACGUUGACAGUGGGGCUAGGAUUUCCGGAGUUUCGUAACAGUCAGCCAUGUCAGUGAAUAUUAAAUCAAGGAUGUUUCUGUUUCUGAUACAUUUAGGUUUGGUGGAAGGUAUGCGCAUCCUACUGCAAUCCUUGAAAUUGAUCUUGGUAACCACUUUGGGCGGAUAGUAAUCCAUAAGCAUUCAAACAGUUGAUCGUUUAAA
Long non-coding RNA from Dendronephthya gigantea, 348 nucleotides. RefSeq lists it as uncharacterized. The transcript is spliced from 3 exons. The record is from RefSeq and is a predicted model, not a curated record. NCBI's taxonomy places the organism in Eukaryota, Metazoa, Cnidaria, Anthozoa, Malacalcyonacea, Nephtheidae.